UUUAAGUACAACCAUAAGUUUCUAUACCUAACUUUAAUUGUUCGUCUUAUUUAAAAUUUUUUAUAAUUAUUAUUUUUAUUGCUAUGAGAUAAUAAAACAUGAAUAGUAAUUUAUGCAUGACUUAUGUUUUUAAUUUUUUUAAAAAAUCUUUUAGAUAAGACGGACGAUCAAAUUUGGACACGAAAAAUCAUUGUUGCACUUAAA
This is a non-coding RNA of Oryza glaberrima (African rice), 204 nucleotides long. NCBI's taxonomy places the organism in Eukaryota, Viridiplantae, Streptophyta, Magnoliopsida, Poales, Poaceae. The record is from Rfam.